Molecule: ribosomal RNA, 440 nt
Filed under: uncultured bacterium
Lineage: Bacteria
Description: partial 16S ribosomal RNA
Rfam family: Bacterial small subunit ribosomal RNA
Source: RNAcentral
CCUACGGGUGGCAGCAGUGGGGGAUAUUGCACAAUGGGGGAAACCCUGAUGCAGCGACGCCGCGUGUGGGAAGACGGUCCUCUGGAUUGUAAACCACUGUCACCAGGGACGAAAAUGACGGUACCUGGGGAGGAAGCUCCGGCAAACUACGUGCCAGCAGCCGCGGUCAUACGUAGGGAGCAAGCGUUGUCCGGAAUUACUGGGUGAAAAGGGAGCGUAGGCGGGGAUGAAAGUUGGGUGUCAAAACUACCGGCUCAACCGAUAGUCGCACUCAAAACUGGAACUCUUGAGUGAAGUAGAGGCAGGCGGAAUUCGUAGUGUAGCGGUGAAAUGCGUAGAUAUUAGGAGGAACACCAGUGGCGAAGGCGGCCUGCUGGGCUUUUACUGACGCUGAGGCUCGAAAGUGUGGGGAGCAAACAGGAUUAGAUACCCUAGUAGUC